AUUGAUUGGUGCUUGCAUCAUGAUUUACAUUUGAGUGAGUGGCGAACUGGUGAGUAACACGUGGGAAACCUGCCCAGAAGCGGGGGAUAACACCUGGAAACAGAUGCUAAUACCGCAUAACAACUUGGACCGCAUGGUCCGAGUUUGAAAGAUGGCUUCGGCUAUCACUUUUGGAUGGUCCCGCGGCGUAUUAGCUAGAUGGUGGGGUAACGGCUCACCAUGGCAAUGAUACGUAGCCGACCUGAGAGGGUAAUCGGCCACAUUGGGACUGAGACACGGCCCAAACUCCUACGGGAGGCAGCAGUAGGGAAUCUUCCACAAUGGACGAAAGUCUGAUGGAGCAACGCCGCGUGAGUGAAGAAGGGUUUCGGCUCGUAAAACUCUGUUGUUAAAGAAGAACAUAUCUGAGAGUAACUGUUCAGGUAUUGACGGUAUUUAACCAGAAAGCCACGGCUAACUACGUGCCAGCAGCCGCGGUAAUACGUAGGUGGCAAGCGUUGUCCGGAUUUAUUGGGCGUAAAGCGAGCGCAGGCGGUUUUUUAAGUCUGAUGUGAAAGCCUUCGGCUCAACCGAAGAAGUGCAUCGGAAACUGGGAAACUUGAGUGCAGAAGAGGACAGUGGAACUCCAUGUGUAGCGGUGAAAUGCGUAGAUAUAUGGAAGAACACCAGUGGCGAAGGCGGCUGUCUGGUCUGUAACUGACGCUGAGGCUCGAAAGUAUGGGUAGCAAACAGGAUUAGAUACCCUGGUAGUCCAUACCGUAAACGAUGAAUGCUAAGUGUUGGAGGGUUUCCGCCCUUCAGUGCUGCAGCUAACGCAUUAAGCAUUCCGCCUGGGGAGUACGGCCGCAAGGCUGAAACUCAAAGGAAUUGACGGGGGCCCGCACAAGCGGUGGAGCAUGUGGUUUAAUUCGAAGCUACGCGAAGAACCUUACCAGGUCUUGACAUACUAUGCAAAUCUAAGAGAUUAGACGUUCCCUUCGGGGACAUGGAUACAGGUGGUGCAUGGUUGUCGUCAGCUCGUGUCGUGAGAUGUUGGGUUAAGUCCCGCAACGAGCGCAACCCUUAUUAUCAGUUGCCAGCAUUAAGUUGGGCACUCUGGUGAGACUGCCGGUGACAAACCGGAGGAAGGUGGGGAUGACGUCAAAUCAUCAUGCCCCUUAUGACCUGGGCUACACACGUGCUACAAUGGAUGGUACAACGAGUUGCGAACUCGCGAGAGUAAGCUAAUCUCUUAAAGCCAUUCUCAGUUCGGAUUGUAGGCUGCAACUCGCCUACAUGAAGUCGGAA
RNAcentral lists this ribosomal RNA (1287 nucleotides) under Lactiplantibacillus paraplantarum. RNAcentral describes it as "bacterial SSU rRNA". It matches the Rfam family "Bacterial small subunit ribosomal RNA", at positions 69 to 1331 of the family's 1533-position model. Lineage: Bacteria; Bacillati; Bacillota; Bacilli; Lactobacillales; Lactobacillaceae. The record is from RNAcentral.